RNAcentral lists this ribosomal RNA (373 nucleotides) under uncultured bacterium. RNAcentral describes it as "bacterial SSU rRNA". It matches the Rfam family "Bacterial small subunit ribosomal RNA", at positions 136 to 507 of the family's 1533-position model. The record is from RNAcentral.
CUGGUGAAUAGCCUUCGAAAGGAGAUUAAUACACCGUAACAUAACGAAAAGGCAUCUUUUUGUUAUUAUAGGCUUCGGCCGGUUUUGGAUGGGCGUGCGCCUGAUUAGGUAGUUGGCGGGGUAACGGCCCACCAAGCCUGCGAUCAGUAACUGGUGUGAGAGCACGACCAGUCACACGGGCACUGAGACACGGGCCCGACUCCUACGGGAGGCAGCAGUAAGGAAUAUUGGUCAAUGGACGAAAGUCUGAACCAGCCAUGCCGCGUGAAGGAUUAAGGCCCUCUGGGUUGUAAACUUCUUUUAUCUGGGACGAAAAAAGGGCUUUCUAGCUCACUUGACGGUACCAGAGGAAUAAGCACCGGCUAACUCCGUG